CAGCUUGUUGGUGGGGUAACGGCCUACCAAGGCGACGACGGGUAGCCGGCCUGAGAGGGCGACCGGCCACACUGGGACUGAGACACGGCCCAGACUCCUACGGGAGGCAGCAGUGGGGAAUAUUGCGCAAUGGGCGAAAGCCUGACGCAGCGACGCCGCGUGGGGGAUGAAGGCCUUCGGGUUGUAAACCCCUUUCAGCAGGGACGAAGCGAAAGUGACGGUACCUGCAGAAGAAGCGCCGGCUAACUACGUGCCAGCAGCCGCGGUAACACGUAGGGCGCAAGCGUUGUCCGGAAUUAUUGGGCGUAAAGAGCUCGUAGGCGGUCUGUUGCGUCCGCUGUGAAAACUCGGGGCUUAACCCCGAGCCUGCAGUGGAUACGGGCAGACUAGAGGUAGGUAGGGGAGAAUGGAAUUCCCGGUGUAGCGGUGAAAUGCGCAGAUAUCGGGAGGAACACCGGUGGCGAAGGCGGUUCUCUGGGCCUUACCUGACGCUGAGGAGCGAAAGCGUGGGGAGCGAACAGGAUUAGAUACCCUGGUAGUCCACGCCGUAAACGUUGGGCGCUAGGUGUGGGAUCCUUCCACGGAUUCCGUGCCGCAGCUAACGCAUUAAGCGCCCCGCCUGGGGAGUACGGCCGCAAG
RNAcentral lists this ribosomal RNA (639 nucleotides) under uncultured Actinomycetes bacterium. Its description in RNAcentral is "SSU rRNA". It matches the Rfam family "Bacterial small subunit ribosomal RNA", at positions 242 to 892 of the family's 1533-position model. Lineage: Bacteria; Bacillati; Actinomycetota; Actinomycetes. The record is from RNAcentral.